AGUUUUGGACCAGUUCAACUCAGUUUUGAUCUGAAUUGACCUUGAUCUGCCCCUAAACUGAUUUUUACUUGUACAGCUCAGGGGUUGACAUUACAUUACAAUGGGUACAUACUACACAGUCUGCACCGACCAGUCAAACUUUGGUGACAAGUCAUGGACCAUUGCAUAAUUGCGCCAUUGAAUUGCUUCUGUAGUUUUUUAUGACAAUAGCCUGUGUCAUUGCUAAUCAAUUGUCGGAUUAUGUGAACAAAUGAUUUAAGUUAGGAACAAAUCAUCAUAUUGCCAACAUUUUAUUACAAUCAUCUAAUAAACGUGGAUUCUUCUUUCAGUGGUGAUUCUCCGUGAUCUUCAUUCGUUCAUUUAAAAUGAAAUAUUCCAUUUUCAAGUUAAUGGCAAGAUCUUCGAUAGAUUGGACUUUGAUUAUAGGAUUCUCGACUUUUAAAUGAUUAAUGUUCAGUUUCAUUGACUCUAUUCACUCAGAGUGCAUCCUUCACCUCCUUGCUUAAAAUGAUACCCUUCACUACACAUGUGACUUUUGCCGCGAGGCGGACCAUGGGAGGAGCAAGUGUUUCUUUUGCUUAGUCAAACCAGUAAGCUCUUCAAAGUUUUCAUCUACC
This 617-nucleotide long non-coding RNA is filed under the name Phoenix dactylifera (date palm). Its description in RNAcentral is "long non-coding RNA (PDAC_LNC014220)". Lineage: Eukaryota; Viridiplantae; Streptophyta; Magnoliopsida; Arecales; Arecaceae. The record is from RNAcentral.